GAUGAAGAACGCAGCGAAAUGCGAUAACUAAUGUGAAUUGCAGAAUUCCGUGAAUCAUUGAGUCUUUGAACGCACAUUGCACCCUCUGGUAUUCCGGGGGGUAUGCCUGUCCGAGCGUCAUUACAACCCCUCAAGCUCAGCUUGGUGUUGGGCCCCGCCGCCCCGGCGGGCCCUAAAGUCAGUGGCGGUGCCGUCCGGCUCCGAGCGUAGUAAUUCUUCUCGCUCUGGAGGUCCGGUCGUGUGCUCGCCAGCAACCCCCAAUUUUUUUCAGGUUGACCUCGGAUCAGGUAGGGAUACCCGCUGAACUUAAGCAUAUCAAUAAGCGGAGGA
RNAcentral lists this unclassified non-coding RNA (330 nucleotides) under soil metagenome. RNAcentral describes it as "partial contains 5.8S ribosomal RNA, internal transcribed spacer 2, and large subunit ribosomal RNA". The stretch from base 1 to 120 matches the Rfam family "5.8S ribosomal RNA", at positions 35 to 154 of the family's 154-position model. The record is from RNAcentral.